Molecule: ribosomal RNA, 500 nt
Filed under: uncultured bacterium
Lineage: Bacteria
Description: bacterial SSU rRNA
Rfam family: Bacterial small subunit ribosomal RNA
Source: RNAcentral
GAACGAACGCUGGCGGCGUGGCUAAGACAUGCAAGUCGAACGUGCCAGUUAAUUUAUUAAUUGGUCAGUGGCGAAAGGGUGAGUAAUGGAUAGGUAACGUACCCCGGGCUCCGGGAUAGCUAGCCGAAAGGUUAGGUAAUACCGGAUGAUAUCGUGGACUGACGGGUCUGCGAUCAAAGAUUUAUCGGCACGGGAGCGGCCUAUCUCCUAUCAGCUAGUUGGUGAGGUAACGGCCCACCAAGGCGAUGACGGGUAGCGGGACUGAGAGGUUGGCCCGCCACAUCGGGACUGAGACACUGCCCGGACCCCCACGGGGGGCUGCAGUAACGAAUAUUGGGCAAUGGGCGAAAGCCUGACCCAGCGACGCCGCGUGCGGGAGGAAGCCCUUCGGGGUGUAAACCGCUGUCAGACAAAGGAAAGUCCGCUUCGGCGGAUUGAUCCGAGUCAGAGGAAGUCACGGCUAACUCUGUGCCAGCAGCCGCGGUAAGACAGAGGUGGCA